AGCGAACGCUGGCGGCAGGCUUAACACAUGCAAGUCGAGCGGGCACUUUCGGGUGUCCGCGGCGGACGGGUGAGUAACGCGUGGGAACGUGCCCUCUGGUUCGGAAUAACUCAGGGAAACUUGAGCUAAUACCGGAUACGCCCUUUUGGGGAAAGGCUUGCUGCCGGAGGAUCGGCCCGCGUCUGAUUAGCUAGUUGGUGAGGUAACGGCUCACCAAGGCGACGAUCAGUAGCUGGUCUGAGAGGAUGAUCAGCCACACUGGGACUGAGACACGGCCCAGAAUCCUACGGGAGGCAGCAGUGGGGAAUAUUGGACAAUGGGCGCAAGCCUGAUCCAGCCAUGCCGCGUGAGUGAUGAAGGCCUUAGGGUUGUAAAGCUCUUUUAUCCGGGACGAUAAUGACGGUACCGGAGGAAUAAGCCCCGGCUAACUUCGUG
Molecule: ribosomal RNA, 435 nt
Filed under: uncultured bacterium
Lineage: Bacteria
Description: partial 16S ribosomal RNA
Rfam family: Bacterial small subunit ribosomal RNA
Source: RNAcentral